GCGGGUGUUCGGCUACAUCACUGGGGCGCCAUGGUGCCUGGAGCUGGGCAGUUUUCUCAUCAGAGUGGGGACUGAUGAUGAUUAUUCCCCACCUUCUAAGAGACAAAGACCAACGAGCCACCACAGCCACCAGUCCCAGAACCCGCCAAUGCUGGGGAACGGAAAAUGAGGGAGUUCAACUCUGGCCCUCACAAUCCAGUGGAGGAGACGCAACUCAUCUGCCUCUGUCCCUCUGGGCACGCCUCAUGCCAGGUGCAUCUGUGGACAGGGGCCAUGCUCCUGGGCUUCCAAAGUUGGAGAAAGCUGCCAGGCUCAGGUCUGAAGGCCAGAAUUCUACAGUAAGUCCUACUGAGUCAAGGUGGGAGCAGGGUCGGUAGCUUCCGAGGCUCUGCGGGAGAAUCUGUUUCCUGGCCGUAGAGGUGGCCUGCACUCCUCAGCCUGUGCUGCCCGUCUCGAAUGACUGGAGUUUCCUGCUUCUGUCACUACACCUCCCACCCUCUCCAUCACCUGCUCUGCUCUUACAAGGAUCCGAAGAAAUGGAAUCAUCGUAUCGCUGAUCUACGUAAACAAACUGAAGAAUUGUCUGAAAGAAAAUAUGACAUGAACUUAUGAAUUCAACAGGUGAAGAUUUACAACUUGAUAAAUCAACUUUGUCAGCUCGAGCUGUAAAAGCCAAAGGUCCGGUGAUGAUCCCAUACCCUUUUUUCCAGUCUCAUGUUGAAGAUUUUUAUGUAGAAGGCCUUCCCAAAGGAAUUUUUUUUUUUUUUUUUUGAGAUGGAGUUUUCACUCUUAUCGCCCAGGCUGGGGUGCAAUGGCGCAACCUUGCUGGUCACUGCAACCUCUGCCUCCUGGGUUCAAGAAAUUCUCCUGCCUUAGCCUCCCAAGUCACUGGGAUUACAGGUGCCCACCACCACACCAGGCUAAUUUUUGUAUUUUUAGUGGAGAUGCGGUUUCACCAUGUUGGCCGGGCCAGUCUCGAACUCCUGACGUCAAGUGAUCUUCCCGCCUCGACUCCUGAUAUCAAGUGAUCUUCCCGCCUCGGCCUCCCAGAGUGCUGAGAUUACAGACGUGAACCCAUGCCUGGCCAGGAAUUUUGUUUUUUAGGAAGGCUUUCUACUAAUGGAAUUCCUGGCCUUGAGAGGAUGUUACUUUAGAAGGAAAGGAUUUUUUUGUUAUUAAAAGAGCCACCUAAGCUGAAGAUUCCCUUGAGAACAAGUACUGUCCCUAGUUUCCCAGUGCUGGAAUAUAGAAAAUGGAUGGACAAGUAAAUCCCACUCAGCACCCAUAGUCCAGGCAUGGGGACCUCAACACACCUGAGCCCCAGACAUCACCUUUCAUUCUGGACCUACCAUGAAAGACUUCUGAAUCCAGGAAGAGAAACUGACUGGGCAACAUGUUAUUCAGCAGAGAUGGCAUCUUGCUCUGUUGCUUAGGCUACAGUACAGUGACAUGAUCAUGGUUCACUGUAGCCUCAAACUCCUGGGCUCAAGUGGUUCUCUCACUUCAGUCUCCCAAGUAGCUGGGACUACAGACAUGUGCCACCAUGUCCAGGUAAUUUUUUAUCAUAGAGACGAGAUCUUGCCAUGUUGCUCCGACUGGGCUCAAAACUCCUGACCUCAAGUGAUCCUCCUGCCUCAGCCUCCCAAAGUGCUGGGAUUACAGGCAGGCAUGACCACCUGUGCCCAGCCCCCUAUUAUUAUUAUUUUAAAUAAUAGCUUUAUUAAAAUAUUCACAUACCAUUCACUUUAUUUAUUGAAAUCUGCAAUUCAGUAGGUUUUAGAAUAUUCACAGAGCUGUGCAUCGAUCACCACAGUCACUUUUAGAACCUUUCAUUACCCUAUAGAGAAAUCCAUACCCCUUAGCCACUACCUCCUACUCUCCCCACCUACCUUUGCCCCCAGCCUUAGGCAACCAUUGAUUAAUUUUUUUGUCACUAUAGAUUUGCCUAAUCUGGACAAAUAGAAUUGUACAAUAUGUGAUCUUUUGUGGCUUUUCUUCCCUCUUAGCACAGUGUUUUCAAAGUUCCUUUAUGUCAUAGUGUGUAUCAAUAUUUCAUUCCUUCUAUGGCAGUAUUCCAUGGUAGAGACACACUGCAUUUUGUUUAUCUGUUCAUCAGUUGGUGGAUAUUUGGGUUGUUUCCAUGUAUUCCAUGUAUUGGUCAUUAUGAAUAAUGCUGCUAUGAAGAUUGUUGUACAAGUUUUUGUGUGGACAUAUAUUUUUAUUUUUCUGGGAUAUAUGCCUAGGAGUGAAAUUGUUGCAUUAUAGGAUGACUGUACAUUUAGCCUUUUGAGAAACUGCCAGACUGUUUUCUAACGUGGCUAUACCAGUUGGGUGCAAUGGCUCACACCUGUAAUCCCAGCUACUCAGGAGGCUCAGCUAGGAGGAUGGCUUGAGCCCGUGAAUUCAAGACCAGCCUGGGCAAGAUAGUGAAACCCCGUCUUGAUUUUUUAAAAAUCCAAUUAAAAUGACAAGAAAAGAAAUACCCAAACAAAAUGGUUACACAAUUUUAUGUUCCCACCAGUAAUGUAUGUGGGUUCCAAUUCCUCCACAUCUUCACUGACAUUUUUUUUUUCUAGAUAGGGGCUUGCUCUGUCUCUCAGGCCGCAGUGCAAUGAUGCCAUCACAGUUCACUGCAGCCGUGACCUCCCAGGCACAAGUGAUUCUCUCAUCUCAGCCUCCUGGGUAGCUGAAAAUUACAGGUGUACGCCACCAUGCCUGGCUAAUUUUUAGAUUUUUCUGUAGUGGUGGGAUUUUACCAUGUUGCCCAGGCUGGUCUCAUACUCCUGGCCUCAAGUGAUCUGCCCACCUCAGCCUCCCUAAGUUCUGGAAUUACAGGCUGCCACCAUGCCCGGCCUUCACCAACAUUUGCCAUUAUCUGUUUUUUUUUUCUUCCUUUAUACCUUAAAGCAGUAUAAGAACAAGUGUCUUCAAUUAUAGGAAACAGUAUAAUCCCAGGGCUUUGGGAGGCUAAGACAGGAAGAUGUCUUGAUGCCAGGAGUUUUUUUUGUUGUUGUUGUUUUUGUUUUUGUUAUUGUUGUUGUUGUUUUUGACAGUCUCGCUCUGUCACCCAGGGUGGAGUGCAGUGAUGGGGUCCACUGCAACCUCCACCUCCCAGGUUCAAGUGAUUCUCCUGCCUCAGCCUCCCGAGUAGGUGAGACUACAGGUACACGCCACUACUGCCCAGCUAAUUUUUGUAUUUUUGAUAGAGUCAGAGUUUCACCGUGUUGGCCAGGCUGGUCUCGAACUCCAGACUUCAGGUGAUUUGCCUGCCUUAGCUUCCCAAAGUGCUGCGAUUACAAGCAUGAGCCACCAUGCCCAGCCUGAUGCCAGGAGUUUUAGACUAGCCUGGGCAACCUAGCAAGACCUUGUCUCUACAGAAUAUUUAAAAAUUAGCCAAAUGUGGUGGUGCCUGUGUAUAGUCUCUCUCCCUCUUUUUUUUUUCUAACUUUUUGUGACAUGGUCUGGCUCUGUCACCCAGGCUGAAGUGCAGUGGUGUGAUCAUGGCUCACUGCAGCCUGAAACUCCUGGGAUCAAGUGAUCAAUCCUCCCACCUCAUCCUACCAAGUAGUAGGGACCACAGGUGUAUGCCACCCAGGUCUUGCUAUGUUGUCCAGGCUGGUCUUGAGCUCCUGGCCUCAAGCAAUCCUCUCACCUUGGCCCCCCACAGUGCAAGGAUUACAGGUAUGAGCCACCAUGCCUGGCCCCCUACCCUGCCUACUGAGAACCAAAGGAAGGAUCCAAAUUCUCCUUAGCUCAACUCGAGCCAUUUCCUGAUUGCUUCAUCAGCGAGGAGCUGGUUAUUGGGCUGUCCAGGCCUCCCAAGCAGCACAGAAAUGAGGUGAAGGAGUUUUCCUGUUGCUCCACUCUGUAAGGAGUUGGAGGGUGAUGUUUACUCGUUUGCAGAGAGAGAUGCCUUGUAGGCACCUCAGGAUGGAGAGGGUCCUGAUUCCAAUGUCCUUUUUUUCUUCAGAAACAGGACCUUGCCCUGUCACUCAGGAUGGAGUUCAGUGGUCCUAUCAUGGCUCAUUAUAGCCUCAAACUCCCAGGCUCAAGCAAUCCUACCAUGUCAGCCUUCCCAGUAGCUGGGACUACAG
This 4094-nucleotide long non-coding RNA is filed under the name Homo sapiens (human). Its description in RNAcentral is "HSALNT0289570". Lineage: Eukaryota; Metazoa; Chordata; Mammalia; Primates; Hominidae. The record is from RNAcentral.